Molecule: ribosomal RNA, 616 nt
Filed under: uncultured bacterium
Lineage: Bacteria
Description: bacterial SSU rRNA
Rfam family: Bacterial small subunit ribosomal RNA
Source: RNAcentral
CGCACAGAGCUGCAUGGCUCGGUGUGAAAAACUCCGGUGGUAUGGGAUGGGCCCGCGUCUGAUUAGGCAGUUGGCGGGGUAACGGCCCACCAAACCGACGAUCAGUAGCCGGCCUGAGAGGGCGACCGGCCACAUUGGGACUGAGACACGGCCCAAACUCCUACGGGAGGCAGCAGUGGGGAAUAUUGCACAAUGGGGGAAACCCUGAUGCAGCGACGCCGCGUGAGCGAAGAAGUAUUUCGGUAUGUAAAGCUCUAUCAGCAGGGAAGAUAAUGACGGUACCUGACUAAGAAGCCCCGGCUAACUACGUGCCAGCAGCCGCGGUAAUACGUAGGGGGCAAGCGUUAUCCGGAUUUACUGGGUGUAAAGGGAGCGUAGACGGCAAGGCAAGUCUGAUGUGAAAACCCAGGGCUUAACCCUGGGACUGCAUUGGAAACUGUCUGGCUCGAGUGCCGGAGAGGUAAGCGGAAUUCCUAGUGUAGCGGUGAAAUGCGUAGAUAUUAGGAAGAACACCAGUGGCGAAGGCGGCUUACUGGACGGUAACUGACGUUGAGGCUCGAAAGCGUGGGGAGCAAACAGGAUUAGAUACCCUGGUAGUCCACGCCGUAAACGAUGA